Long non-coding RNA from Ostrea edulis (European flat oyster), 1027 nucleotides. RefSeq lists it as uncharacterized. The record is from RefSeq and is a predicted model, not a curated record. The transcript is spliced from 2 exons. NCBI's taxonomy places the organism in Eukaryota, Metazoa, Mollusca, Bivalvia, Ostreida, Ostreidae.
ACAUGUGAUGGUAAGGUUACUCCCUUCCUUGACUUGUUGGUCCCCACUGGACUUGGAUGGAAAAAUCCGAGGAGAAACUGCCAAGAAGAUUUAAUAUGAAAACAAUUUGGAAGCAGGAAGCAUGGAGAAGUAAUGAAACCUACCUGGUAAACUACACAACCAUGAGAUUAAUAAAAUUCCAGUCAACAUAUCCAGACUAGGAUUUAAUGACUAGUAAUCCGCAUAAUUAAUUGGAUUUAACACAAGACCAUUCCAACGAGGUUAACUACGAACUGUGUGUUUCAUCACACACACACACAAAAAUAUUCCGUCACUGUGGUAGCGGUAGAGAUCGGACCCCUGUGAAAACGUCUUGGUCGGUUACCCGGGGGUCAUAAACGUGUUGUUCCUUCUGUAACACUGAUCAUAUGAUCGUCAUUUUCAAGUACUCUACAAAUCAACGACCUCAGUAGCUUCGUCCUCUGUACUGGCAGACGACAGUCCUCCACUAACUCCUAUUGAUUUCAGCAGUAACAAGAUGCCGUAUUACACGACACCACUAUUGAUUACAUCAAAACAAUGGCAUCAUUUCGUCACAACAUCCGAAAAUACCUCCAAAUAUUCACCAAGGUACAUAUAACAAAUUAAAGAAACUUCCGGUUCGCAUAGCGCACCUGUUGUGUAGAGAGCACUGGACCGUAAAACGGAACAUUCUAUUCUGCAUUUUCAAAGUACGAAGAUUUUGAUAUACGUGGAAAGUGGUACAUGUAGUUACAAUAUAAUAUAUAGACGUUUCACCAUAUAGACUAUGUAGUAUUUUUUGUAUGUUUUGCAUAUUGUUUCUAUUGAUGCGACUUUUCUUGUCCUCAUGUAUGUUUAGAAAUCAUGCUAAUUUUUUUGUAUCUAUGUCAUGCCCCCAGUGGGACUAUGCUUGGCGAAUAAAUCUAUUCUAUAUAAGUUGUACAGGAUCAUUAAUUUGUUUCACGAUAUUAUUUGUUCGAUGCACAUGUAUUAUUAUACGUAUGUAUAUAUAUGUACACAAACUACA